This 250-nucleotide ribosomal RNA is filed under the name uncultured delta proteobacterium. RNAcentral's name for it is "partial 16S ribosomal RNA". It matches the Rfam family "Bacterial small subunit ribosomal RNA", at positions 524 to 773 of the family's 1533-position model. The record is from RNAcentral. Lineage: Bacteria; Deltaproteobacteria. RNAcentral also lists the same sequence under 1 other name.
UACGGAGGGUGCGAGCGUUGUUCGGAAUCACUGGGCGUAAAGGGCGUGUAGGCGGUCCGCUAAGUCUGAUGUGAAAGCCCGGGGCUCACCCCCGGAAGGGCAUUGGAAACUGGCGGACUCGAGUCCCGGAGAGGAAGGUGGAAUUCCUGGUGUAGCGGUGAAAUGCGUAGAUAUCAGGAGGAAUACCGGUGGCGAAGGCGGCCUUCUGGACGGUGACUGACGCUGAGACGCGAAAGCGUGGGGAGCAAAC